UCCCAUGCUCAUGUUUACACAGGCCCCAGC
Molecule: non-coding RNA, 30 nt
Filed under: Rattus norvegicus (Norway rat)
Lineage: Eukaryota; Metazoa; Chordata; Mammalia; Rodentia; Muridae
Source: RNAcentral